RNAcentral lists this ribosomal RNA (427 nucleotides) under uncultured prokaryote. RNAcentral's name for it is "bacterial SSU rRNA". It matches the Rfam family "Bacterial small subunit ribosomal RNA", at positions 355 to 796 of the family's 1533-position model. The record is from RNAcentral.
UGGGGAAUAUUGCACAAUGGGCGCAAGCCUGAUGCAGCGACGCCGCGUGAAGGAUGAAGGUUUUCGGAUCGUAAACUUCUAUCAGCAGGGAGGAACCAAAUGACGGUACCUGACUAAGAAGCCCCGGCUAACUACGUGCCAGCAGCCGCGGUAAUACGUAGGGGGCAAGCGUUAUCCGGAUUUACUGGGUGUAAAGGGUGCGUAGGUGGUAUGGUAAGUCAGAUGUGAAAACUCAGAGCUCAACUUUGAGACUGCAUCUGAAACUACUAAACUAGAGUGCAGGAGAGGAAAGCGGAAUUCCGAGUGUAGCGGUGAAAUGCGUAGAGAUUCGGAGGAACACCAGUAGCGAAGGCGGCUUUCUGGACUGUAACUGACACUGAGGCACGAAAGCGUGGGGAGCGAACAGGAUUAGAUACCCCCGUAGUCC